This 497-nucleotide ribosomal RNA is filed under the name uncultured bacterium. RNAcentral describes it as "partial 16S ribosomal RNA". It matches the Rfam family "Bacterial small subunit ribosomal RNA", at positions 28 to 507 of the family's 1533-position model. The record is from RNAcentral.
GAUGAACGCUGGCGGCGUGCCUAAUACAUGCAAGUCGAGCGAACAGACGAGGAGCUUGCUCCUCUGACGUUAGCGGUGGACGGGUGAGUAACACGUGGAUAACCUACUUAUAAGUCUGGGAUAACUUCGGGAAAACGGAGCUAAUACCGGAUAAUAUAUUGAAUCGCAUGGUUCAAUAGUGAAAGAAGGUUUUGCUGUCACUUAUAGAUGGAUCCGCGCCGCAUUAGCUAGUUGGUAAGGUAACGGCUUACCAAGGCAACGAUGCGUAGCCGACCUGAGAGGGUGAUCGGCCACACUGGAACUGAGACACGGUCCAGACUCCUACGGGAGGCAGCAGUAGGGAAUCUUCCGCAAUGGGCGAAAGCUUGACGGAGCAACGCCGCGUGAGUGAUGAAGGUCUUCUGAUCGUAAAACUCUGUUAUUAGGGAAGAACAAAUGUGUAAGUAACUAUGCACGUCUUGACGGUACCUAAUCAGAAAGCCACGGCUAACUACGUG